Molecule: unclassified non-coding RNA, 200 nt
Filed under: Lyophyllum sp.
Lineage: Eukaryota; Fungi; Basidiomycota; Agaricomycetes; Agaricales; Lyophyllaceae
Description: partial internal transcribed spacer 2
Source: RNAcentral
UUAAGUUCAGCGGGUAGUCUUAUCUGAUUUGAGGUCAAAAGGUUAAAAGUUGUCCUUGGAGGACGAUUAGAAGCAAAACCUCUCAACUAGUUGAGGCUGACACUCUAGUGGCGUAGAUAAUUAUCACACCAAGAAAUGAUCAACAAAAGUUUCACUAAUGCAUUUCAGAGGAGCCGACUUCUGUGAAGCCCGCAAACCCC